GUUUUUUUAAAUAUAUAUUUUAUAUAAAUAUUUAUUAUCUAUCUAUGGUGUAACGGUCCCAGCCUGAGGGGACCGUUCCACUUUGUGUUUUCUGUUUGUCCUUGACUUGUCUUGUCCUUGUGUGGCGGCACGAGAGCUGACAAAACCAAACACCGACAACGCCACUCGGGGAAUUUCACCCAAAGAAUUAGUUUGAAUCACCACUUCAAUAUAAUGUUUAAAGGACACACAGGUCAGUUUACAAGAAGGCGCCAAAGACGAGGUUCAACUUUAAAAAAAGUAUAAAUUUUUAUUACAAAAUCAAUGCAAUUAAAAACAAUCAAUUUAAAAAUACCUUCACACCAAUAGGGGACAAAUAAUUAGGGCUGAGGCUUACCUGAUGGAGGGGGAAAGGGGAACAAGGAUGGAACAGGAUCUCAGGGAAAGUCACCCGUGAACACGCAAACAAACAGUGAGCACAGCAAAUAAAAAAAGGGGAGAGGCACAGCACACUGGAAGGGAGAUACCACCUUCAGCUCUCAGCCACUAAAACAUGAGGGGGAACACACAAACAAAGGGAGUUCACUCUUCAACAAUAAAGUCAAAACAAUAUUGCAAAAAUGAAAAGACCAAACUGGAAAAAAACUACUUCAGCCACUCUUCAGGUAGGUGGGCUAACCCACAACAUUCAUACACUUAGGGACUGAGACCUACAUAAUGGCCCCACAGAAGCAACAGAGAAUGGUUGGAUGGCGGGCCGCAACAAUAAACCACAGUUCAAAUAGUAGUCUAUUUUAACAUCAUGUGUAGGCAAAACAAACAGCUGGUAAUUGAGAUGCUCGGCAGCUAAUAAGACUCUCCGGCAGCUUCAGUCCAAUCCCUAAUGUUUACACAAAACAACAAUUAACACCAAAUAAAGCUAAAGAAAUAACUCCCACCUCAUUUACCCACAUACCGUUACGCAGAGUUCGAGUCGCUCCAGAGGGAAGACGUCCCGAGAAUGCAACGUGCAGACAACUAUCAGUGCUACUCGCUUUGCAUUAUUGUGUUACUUCGGCGAGUAGGGGGAGGUGAAUCUGCCAGCCGAAGAUCUAAAAUGUUUAAUGCAUAGUAAAAUAACGGCCGCAAAUGAUUAACAACAUUUAGUGCAGAGGCAGCCAAACCACCACCUUACCCAACGCUCGAGCAGACAAAUCACAGCAGUCACAAGCCGGAAGUGCAGUGUGCUCCAGUCCCCAGCAAGCAAGGCAGUGGGUGGACUACUGGCUGUUUUUAUACGGCGCUCCACCAUUGUGAUUGGCCGAAAACGCACAGGUAGUUAUGAGCUAAAACUCAUACUGCUACAAUCUACCGCAACCUUUUCAUCGUCACCUUUUCAAACGAUACCCUAGACUAACUCCAAGGACGAAAGAGGGCCACUACUUCAUUAGACACAGGACCAUGGGGAUUAAGCGCAUUGUCUACUACCCCUACUGGUCUUGGCAGGUGAUAGACAUUAGAAUGCUGGCCGGCCGUUGGCCGGGCUGUCCGACGUCUGGCCACUUCACCCAUCACCGGCUGGAAGGCAGGCAGAAAGACCGGAGGACUAAUAGGUCUUGCUGCUGCCUCAGUAAUCGGGAUCACAGAGGGGCCUGGCCCAGUAAAUACCGGGGCUGAUGGUAGGGGCUGUAUUCGAGGGGUGGUUUGGAUGACCACAGCCAUGCGAGUGGGAUUUACCGCAGGAACCUCUUGCCUCACAACAACCAGGUCAUCCCCGGACCACUCAUUCUCCGACUGAGGUGGGUCAACAAGGCGAAGCAGCAUUACUUAAAGGACGCGCGCAAACCACAGCCUUCAACAGGGCACAGUUAACUUGUCUGGCUUUGGUUGGUUCGUCCAUGGGUGCAAUAGUAUACACCGACCCUCCAUCUUUGGGCACCUUAAGGACCCUGUACUGCACCGGACCGUAGGCGUCACAAAGCUUAUGAUGGCCCGUGCCGAAAAAUCACGAAGCCAAACUAGCUGGCCCAUUUUAAGGGGGACAACUCUCACUCGCCGAUCAUAGUUCUUCUUACGCCGCUCUGCGGCAACCCACAGCCUCUCUGUAGCACCUUCAAAGGCCAGCUGUAAGCGGGUCUGGUGCUCCUGGAUCCAUUCGUGGACAUGUCCACCCACAGGAUCCUGAACUCUACCCAACAAGAAAUCAAACGGCAACCUAGGUUCCUGACCGAAAAUUAGGAAUAACGGAGACUCGCCUGUCGCUUGAUGGGGAGUGGUGUUGUAAGAAAAGAGGACCUGUGGCAAGCAGUCUCUCUUCCGAGACACUGGCAGAGUACGCAACAAAUUAUGGAGCGUCCUAUUGAACCGUUCGCAUUGGCCAUUACCGGCCGGAUGGUAUGGCGUAGUGCGAGACUUUUCAAUGCCAUAAAAAUGACAAAGCUGUUGAAUAAGGGAGCUCUCAGAGUGGAUACGGGCCGGAACUCCAAACUUGGAGAACCACUCCACCACCAAAGCUUGAGCCACAGUAGGUGCUCGUUGGUCCCGGGUGGGGACAGCAAGUGUAUACUUACUGAACACAUCAGUCAUGACCAGGACAUUCUCCAAACCACCCUGGGUGGGUUCUAACAUGGUGUAGUCAAUGGCUACAAUCUCGUUAGGCCGCGAGGCCAACAAGUGUCCCAUAAGACUAGACUUGGCUAAUCGAGAGUCCUUGGCAACUUGGCACCUCUCACAAGACUGACACCACCGAGACACGUCCGAGGACAUCCCGGGCCAAUAGCAGCGUUGGUGUAGAAGCUCUAAAGUCCUCUCUACGCCCUGGUGGCCGUGCUCCUGAUGGACCUUAGUCAACACCUCUUCCCUUAAGGAGACAGGCACUACCACCUGCAAGACUACUUCCCCACCAUCAGGCCGAAACACCUGGUGAUACAAAACACCACUUCUCUCAGCCAAGCGGUCCCAUUGCUGAAGCAACACCAAUACAGGCCGAGAUGCCCUUUGACGUUCUUCGAAGUUGGGACGCUGCUCUCGUCUCCAAAACACAAGAGCCUCCUGGAUAACUGAGUCAGCCUGUUGCAGGGCAUAAAUAUCAGACGUAGUGUAAUGAGGCAGGGCCAUAAUGGCAGUUUAAGUUGCCUCAACCAGCAUCCCCUGAAGGGCCUGCUGUAGUGGUUUGGGGAGUGAUGUGCCAGGAAGCAUAGCUUCCAUAUUUGCUGGACCAGGUGGAUACUGACGUGAUAGAGCAUCUGCAUUCCUGUUACUUCGGCCGGAGCGGUAUUUGACCUCGAAGUCAAAUGAUGCCAGCUGAGCAGCCCAACGUUGCUCUGUUGCACCAAGCUUAGCGGAUGACAACUGACUAAGUGGAUUGUUAUCAGUAAAAACCACACACUUAUGGCCCAGCAGGUACUCCCGAAACUUUUCUGUCAUGGCCCAUUUGAGGGCCACAAACUCCAAUCUCAUAGAGCUGUAGUUCACCAUGUUGCGCUCCGGGUUAGGGCUAGGGCCUCAAGCCCCGACUGGCAUAGGCAAUAGGCCUAACUUUACCAACUUGUUCUUGCGAUAACACUGCCCCAAGGCCACCAUGACUUGCAUCCACCUCCAAAAUGAAGGGAAGAGAAAAGUCAGCAUAAGCAAGCACUGGGGCACUUGUGAGCUUGGUUUUCAGUGCUUCAAAACUGCAAUGGCACUCCUCUGUCCAAUUAUCAACAAAUGUUUGCUCUACCCUCCUCUUGGACUUGGUUGGCGCCAGGUACGCCACGAACUUAUGUAAAGGGGCCGCCAUCUUAGCAAAACCUUCCACAAAACGGCGGUAAUAGCUGGCGAACCCAAGAAACGACCGCAGCUCUGAAACGGUCGCAGGGGGCUGCCAGUUAGCCACUACCUCCACCUUGCUGGGGUCUGUGGCCACCCCGUCACUGGAUAUCACAUGCCCCAGGUAACGUACCUCCUGCUGGAAAAAGGCACAUUUGGUGAGCUUUGCCUUGAGAUUCUCCUUUUGCAGCCAACUCAACACCACUUCCAAUCUCUCCAAGUGCUGCUGUAUGGUAGAAGAGAACUACAAUAUCAUCAAGGUAAAGCAACAAAGACCGAUUUUGUUGAUCCCCAAACAGACGUUGCAUCAACCGCUGAAAAGUGCCGGGGGCAUUACAGAGCCCGAAGGGCAUGCGAUUCCACUCAAAAAGCCCAAACGGAGUGCAGUUUUGGAUCGAUCUGCCUCAGUAACUGGGACCUGAUUAUACCCGCUGGCCUCCAACGAUUCCUCGAUGCGCGGAAGAGGGAAAGCAUCUUUCUGGGUUUUACAGUUGAGCUGCCGGUAAUCAACACACAUUCGUAGGGUUCCAUCCUUCUUCUUGACGAGGACAAUGGGGCUAGCGUAGGGACUACUACUCUCCCUGAUUACCUGUGACUCGAGCAAUUGAUGUAUAUGCUCUUUAACCACCUCGUACUCAGACGGCGGAAUACGCCUAUGGCGUUGCCUGACCGGCACGUCGUCUACGAGAGGAAUGUCAUGGGUAAUCAGGUUGGUGCACCCAAGGUCCCAGUCGUGGGCAGAAAAGACGGAAUUAUAUCGCCCAAGAAGAGACUUCACCGGACCCUGUUCCUCAGCAGACAAUGAUGACAGGUCCAUAUUAUCUAACUGAUCCUGCACUGUGAGAGCAGCAGUCUGAGAUGCCACUGUGGCCACACCGGCCGGCACCUCUGUGACUCCGGUGGGCAAGCUGACGACACGAACCUCAUCCAGGGUACCUACAAUGGUGUGUGGGUAAAGCAACACAUCAGUACACAGGAGUAAUUUUUCCAGAGUAACUUUUUUUUUCCUCAAAAAUAGUUGUUUUUAAUCUAUUUUGAGUGAACAGAAUAAAAUGUGUCCACAGAGGGGGAGCAAAAUUAAAGAGUAAUCUGGAGUAACCGUUAACUGUGACUCCUCCCCAAGAUUGUCUCCUCUCCCUGAGUGUAUUAUCCGCCAUUACGUUCAUCACGGCGAUCGCGACCGUUGCAUAUGUGGGUUUGGAAGAGAAGUUGAGCUUCUGCUGGACGUAAAAGUUGGGACAGCGACAUGUCUUCCAUUCUGAUGCUGGUUCACCUUUUGCCACCCUCAAGUCAAGGCCGCAAAACACCGGGAAAGAUCUCAGCGAGAAAAGCAUGUGAUUGUCUUGUGAAAUUCAUCAAGACCGGUACCAGUAUCCAAGGGCACUUGGAUACCAUUGGAGAGAGCCUCCAGCCAUAUCUGCUUGUUGUUGGGCCAAGGAGAAGUAGGGUCCAGUCUUGUUUUAUUGUUAUUGACAAACAUGCUCUACCCUGUAAGGCCUCUAAUUCACUGGCCUGUGUUGAUGAGCUUUUCAAAGCUCACUUUGUCUUUGGCACCUCAUACUGUCAGGAACUUACCAAUGUGUACAACUUUCUGCAAACCACUGUCUAUGACAUAGAUGUUGAAACCACCAAGGUGAAUCCUAGAGUGGCUGAGUUAAGAGCUAGAAUGCUCCAGUGAGCAGAUGAUUUGUUUCAUAUGUAAAAGGGGGCAUGCUAGUGCCAAUGCCCUUAUAAGGCACUUUAAGUUAGUUCAUGGCCUUUGUCCAGGCAAAAGUUUGAAGUUAAAAUGUGCUCAAAGAGGUUGUUCACAUGUUUACCAUAGUUUUUCUGGAUUACGAAAGCAUCUCAGCAAGUGUUGUGCGAUUGACCGUUCACACCUCGAUUAUGGUGAAAGCUCAUCCAACGCCAACUCCAUUUCACUAGGGGAUGUAGGUGUUUUACCAAACCAAAAUUCAACUUGUGAGUCUGUACUCCCAAAAACAAAUAUAGAAAACAGUUGUGCAACAGUGGUAGCCGAACUUAAAGUUGUUGGUGUAGCAGAGACAACUAUUAACUAUGUUGUUAGUGCUCUAGAAGAAGUGGUUGGAGACGUUUAUAGUCAAACACAAGAGUCUGUGAAAAAGAGCUUAUCUUUAGAGGAGCCCAUAAAAAGUUUGGUUGAGUCUCAAAUUGAUCAGUGUUUUGAAAAAAUGCAAAAUCCUUUUGUGGCAUUAAACACUGAGAGUAAGAGAAUGCAGUACUUUUCGGACAAAUGGGGGAAAAUAGAUCCUGUUGAAUAUGUUCUCGGUACAAGAUUUGCUACACGGCGUAAUAGAACAAUUGGAACUUUCGCCCAAACCAUUGUUAAGGAUAAAUUUGUAUAUAUACCAAUUAUUGAGACAAUACAGUCGAUUUAUAAGCACCCUAACAUUAAAGAUAUGAUGAUGAGGGAUUCACAACAAAUACCAAAUUUUCUUUAUGACAUACAAGAUGGAGAAUUAUUUAAGAAUCAUGCGCUCUUUUCAAAACAAAGACAUGCUGUUCAGAUCCAGCUUUUUUUGAUGAAUUUGAAUGCUCAAAUCCCCUUGGAUCAAAAAAGGGAAUACAUAAAUUAGGAGCUAUCUAUUUUACCCUUAGAAAUAUUUCCCCUAAAUACAAUUCGAGUUUUCUAAAUAUUCAUUUAGUUGGUUUAUUUCAUUCCUUAUUUGGUUUUGUAGAAUCUUUCAGUGCUAGGUACUGUUGCCGCUUUUGCCUACUAGAGAAAGAAGACUUUCAGACAGAGUUCAGUGAAGAUAGUCCAAAGAUGUCAGUGCGAACUAAAGAACUUCAUGCUGAACAUUGUCAGAGUAUGCAGAACAAUCCCAGUCUACCUUAUGUAAUGGGAGUAAAAAAGUCUUGCCUUUUAAAUUCGUUGCAAUAUUUCCACACCACUGCAAAUUUUUCAGUUGAUAUCAUGCAUGAUAUAUUAGAGGGUGUCGGACAAUAUGAAAUGAAAUUACUCCUUCAGCACCUGAUUGACAAUUACACCACACCAGCAGAAGUACACAGAAGAAUUCAGAGUUUCAACUAUGGCUUCUUGGAACAAAACAACAAACCUCCUGGUGUAGCAUUAAGAGAGGGUUCCAAUGACUUGGGCUUAAAUGCCACCCAGAGCUGGUGUUUACUGCGUCAUCUACCCAUUAUGUUUGGAGAUCUUGUCUGUCCUAAUGAUCAUCACUGGUAUUUGUUUAUUUUAUUGCUUCAGAUAGUCAAUAUAGUGUUUUCUUCAGUUAUAUCCACUGGUAUCACUAUUUAUUUGAAACACCUGAUUGCAGAGCACCACAGUUUGUUUAAGCAUUUGUUUCCUGACAAGAACUUGUUGCCAAAGCAUCAUUUUAUGGUGCAUUACCCCAGUUGUAUGCAGAAAAUUGGACCAUUGCUACAUAGUUGGUGCGUGCGUUAUGAAGCGAAGCAUAACUUUUUUUAAAAGCAGUUGAAAAGCUUUAAAAACAUAACAAAAACAUUAGCAAAAAACACCAGUGCCAAAUCGCUUACAUUUGGCAAACAUUUGAUCCAAAUGACAUGAAAUUAGGUCCUGGGAAAAUGACUCCCUUAAAUGAAAUGGAAGUUGGUGCUGAGAUUGCGGAGAAACUUAAUGUACCUAUGUGGACUAAGGUUCUAAAUGUAAAAUGGGUCAAGCGCUGUGGAAUUACUUACCGUUUAGGAUUAGCAGUUUGUGUUCAAGUUCAAAAUGAAAUGCCUGUAUUUCAUGUAAUCCAGAAUAUUGUUAUCAAAGAUGAGCAGAUCCUUUUGAUUACAACUGCACUAAAAACGUUUUGUUUAGCUGAACAUGUCAAUUCUUACAAAGUUGCACAUACUGCAGAAGCACCUUCUGUUUUGGAGAUUAGGGAUAUUUUGCACCACAAGUUGUUUGAUAUUCUUAUGUCUUAUGGUUUGGAUUCUGAUUUGUUUAUUGUACCAUAUUGUUUCAUAUAAUUCUUCAUCCUUUCUCUUACAUUAUCACUAUCACAAUUUUCUAUUAUUUUAGUAUUAUUGUUUUCAUUAUUUGUUUAUUUUAUGAUCACAAGUGAAUUAAACGGGGUGCUAAUGUUUUUAUUAUUUUAGUAUUGUUUUCAUUAUUUAUUUAUUUUAUGAUCACAAGUGAAUUAAACGGGGUGCUAAUGUCUUUAUUAUUUUAGUAUUGUUUUCAUUAUUUGUUUUAAGCUC
This is a long non-coding RNA of Esox lucius (northern pike), 7953 nucleotides long. NCBI's taxonomy places the organism in Eukaryota, Metazoa, Chordata, Actinopteri, Esociformes, Esocidae. The record is from Ensembl.